UUAUAUUAAAGUGUAAUUGCAUUUAAAUUUUUGAGAUUUAAGGUUUAAUUUAUUUAAAUAAUAUA
Molecule: transfer RNA, 65 nt
Filed under: Mycopsylla gardenensis
Lineage: Eukaryota; Metazoa; Arthropoda; Insecta; Hemiptera; Carsidaridae
Description: tRNA-Gln
Source: RNAcentral